CGGGCUGUAGCGCAGUUUGGCUAGCGCGCUUGGUUCGGGACCAAGAGGUCGCGGGUUCAAAUCCCGCCAGCCCGA
Molecule: transfer RNA, 75 nt
Filed under: Planctomycetia bacterium
Lineage: Bacteria; Pseudomonadati; Planctomycetota; Planctomycetia
Also listed under: 1 other name
Description: tRNA-Pro
Rfam family: tRNA
About the family: Transfer RNA (tRNA) molecules are approximately 80 nucleotides in length.
Source: RNAcentral